UCUUAUCUUCCGGUUUAAUUCCCUGUAC
RNAcentral lists this small RNA (28 nucleotides) under Bombyx mori (domestic silkworm). RNAcentral describes it as "ovarian small RNA-30100". Lineage: Eukaryota; Metazoa; Arthropoda; Insecta; Lepidoptera; Bombycidae. The record is from RNAcentral.